UGCAAGUCGAGCGGUAGCACAGAGAAGCUUGCUCUCGGGUGACGAGCGGCGGACGGGUGAGUAAUGUCUGGGAAACUGCCUGAUGGAGGGGGAUAACUACUGGAAACGGUAGCUAAUACCGCAUAACGUCGCAAGACCAAAGUGGGGGACCUUCGGGCCUCAUGCCAUCAGAUGUGCCCAGAUGGGAUUAGCUGGUAGGUGGGGUAACGGCUCACCUAGGCGACGAUCCCUAGCUGGUCUGAGAGGAUGACCAGCCACACUGGAACUGAGACACGGUCCAGACUCCUACGGGAGGCAGCAGUGGGGAAUAUUGCACAAUGGGCGCAAGCCUGAUGCAGCCAUGCCGCGUGUGUGAAGAAGGCCUUCGGGUUGUAAAGCACUUUCAGCGGGGAGGAAGGCGGUGAGGUUAAUAACCUCGCCGAUUGACGUUACCCGCAGAAGAAGCACCGGCUAACUCCGUGCCAGCAGCCGCGGUAAUACGGAGGGUGCAAGCGUUAAUCGGAAUUACUGGGCGUAAAGCGCACGCAGGCGGUCUGUCAAGUCGGAUGUGAAAUCCCCGGGCUCAACCUGGGAACUGCAUUCGAAACUGGCAGGCUAGAGUCUUGUAGAGGGGGGUAGAAUUCCAGGUGUAGCGGUGAAAUGCGUAGAGAUCUGGAGGAAUACCGGUGGCGAAGGCGGCCCCCUGGACAAAGACUGACGCUCAGGUGCGAAAGCGUGGGGAGCAAACAGGAUUAGAUACCCUGGUAGUCCACGCUGUAAACGAUGUCGAUUUGGAGGUUGUGCCCUUGAGGCGUGGCUUCCGGAGCUAACGCGUUAAAUCGACCGCCUGGGGAGUACGGCCGCAAGGUUAAAACUCAAAUGAAUUGACGGGGGCCCGCACAAGCGGUGGAGCAUGUGGUUUAAUUCGAUGCAACGCGAAGAACCUUACCUGGUCUUGACAUCCACAGAACUUAGCAGAGAUGGUUUGGUGCCUUCGGGAACUGUGAGACAGGUGCUGCAUGGCUGUCGUCAGCUCGUGUUGUGAAAUGUUGGGUUAAGUCCCGCAACGAGCGCAACCCUUAUCCUUUGUUGCCAGCGGUUAGGCCGGGAACUCAAAGGAGACUGCCAGUGAUAAACUGGAGGAAGGUGGGGAUGACGUCAAGUCAUCAUGGCCCUUACGACCAGGGCUACACACGUGCUACAAUGGCAUAUACAAAGAGAAGCGACCUCGCGAGAGCAAGCGGACCUCAUAAAGUAUGUCGUAGUCCGGAUUGGAGUCUGCAACUCGACUCCAUGAAGUCGGAAUCGCUAGUAAUCGUAGAUCAGAAUGCUACGGUGAAUACGUUCCCGGGCCUUGUACACACCGCCCGUCACACCAUGGGAGUGGGUUGCAAAAGAAGUAGGUAGCUUAACCUUCGGGAGGGCGCUUACC
Molecule: ribosomal RNA, 1411 nt
Filed under: Klebsiella variicola
Lineage: Bacteria; Pseudomonadati; Pseudomonadota; Gammaproteobacteria; Enterobacterales; Enterobacteriaceae
Description: bacterial SSU rRNA
Rfam family: Bacterial small subunit ribosomal RNA
Source: RNAcentral